AACGAACGCUGGCGGCAUGCCUAACACAUGCAAGUCGAACGAAGCCUUCGGGCUUAGUGGCGCACGGGUGCGUAACGCGUGGGAAUCUGCCCUUGGGUUCGGAAUAACAGUUAGAAAUGACUGCUAAUACCGGAUGAUGUCUUCGGACCAAAGAUUUAUCGCCCAAGGAUGAGCCCGCGUAGGAUUAGGUAGUUGGUGGGGUAAUGGCCCACCAAGCCGACGAUCCUUAGCUGGUCUGAGAGGAUGAUCAGCCACACUGGGACUGAGACACGGCCCAGACUCCUACGGGAGGCAGCAGGGGGGAAUAUUGGACAAUGGGCGAAAGCCUGAUCCAGCGAUGCCGCGUGAGUGAUGAAGGCCUUAGGGUUGUAAAGCUCUUUUACCAGGGAUGAUAAUGACAGUACCUGGAGAAUAAGCUCCGGCUAACUCCGUGCCAGCCGCCGCAGUAA
This 449-nucleotide ribosomal RNA is filed under the name uncultured bacterium. RNAcentral describes it as "partial 16S ribosomal RNA". It matches the Rfam family "Bacterial small subunit ribosomal RNA", at positions 29 to 523 of the family's 1533-position model. The record is from RNAcentral.